CCUACGGGGGGCAGCAGUGAGGAAUAUUGGUCAAUGGGCUUACGCCUGAACCAGCCAAGUCGCGUGAGGGAAGAAUGCCCUAUGGGUUGUAAACCUCUUUUGUCAGGGAGCAACGCCGGCUACGUGUAGCCGGACAGAGAGUACCUGAAGAAAAAGCAUCGGCUAACUCCGUGCUAGCAGCCGCGGGAAUACGGAGGAUGCGAGCGUUAUCCGGAUUUUAUGGGUUGAAGGGGUGCGUAGGCGGAAGGCCAAGUCAGCGGUAAAAUCGCGGGGGUCAACCUGGCUUCGCCUUUGAAACUGGCGUUCUUGAGUGGGCGAGAGGGAUGCGGAAUUCGUGGUGUAGCGGUGAAAUGCGUAGAUAUCACGCAGAACACCGAUUGCGAAGGCAGUAUGCCGGCGCCCAACUGACGCUGAGGCACGAAAGCGUGGGUAGCGAACAGGAUUAGAUACCCUUGUAGUC
Molecule: ribosomal RNA, 460 nt
Filed under: uncultured bacterium
Lineage: Bacteria
Description: partial 16S ribosomal RNA
Rfam family: Bacterial small subunit ribosomal RNA
Source: RNAcentral